CUCUAGGAAUGGAAACCAAGGUAGACA
RNAcentral lists this non-coding RNA (27 nucleotides) under Cricetulus griseus (Chinese hamster). The record is from RNAcentral. Lineage: Eukaryota; Metazoa; Chordata; Mammalia; Rodentia; Cricetidae.